UACAGGGGGUGCAAACGUUGCUCGGAAUCAUUGGGCGUAAAGCGCGCGUAGGCGGCUACUUAAGUCGGAUGUGAAAGCCCUUGGCUCAACUGAGGAAGUGCACCCGAAACUGAGUGGCUUGAGUACUAAAGAGGGUCGCGGAAUUCCCGGUGUAGAGGUGAAAUUCGUAGAUAUCGGGAGGAACACCGGUGGCGAAGGCGGCGACCUGGGUAGAUACUGACGCUGAGGCGCGAAAGCGUGGGGAGCAAACAGG
This 253-nucleotide ribosomal RNA is filed under the name uncultured bacterium. RNAcentral's name for it is "partial 16S ribosomal RNA". It matches the Rfam family "Bacterial small subunit ribosomal RNA", at positions 524 to 776 of the family's 1533-position model. The record is from RNAcentral.